CCCUUAGAUGUUCUGGGCCGCACGCGCGCUACACUGAUAAUGUCAACAAGCUUUACCUUGGCCGAUAGGUCUGGGCAAUCUUCGAACUAUUAUCGUGAUGGGGCUAGAUUAUAGCAACUAUUAAUCUUAAACGAGGAAUUCCUAGUAAGCGCGAGUCAUCAGCUCGCGUUGAUUACGUCCCUGCCCUUUGUACACACCGCCCGUCGCUCCUACCGAUUGGAUUGGCUGGUGAAGCGUUCGGAUUGUGGGUUCGGAGCGGUUCGCCGUUCUGGGCUUGCGAGAAGUUCGUUAAACCCUCCUAUCUAGAGGAAGGAGAAGUCGUAACA
This 326-nucleotide ribosomal RNA is filed under the name uncultured eukaryote. Its description in RNAcentral is "partial 18S ribosomal RNA". It matches the Rfam family "Eukaryotic small subunit ribosomal RNA", at positions 1470 to 1796 of the family's 1831-position model. The record is from RNAcentral.